This 241-nucleotide ribosomal RNA is filed under the name uncultured Actinomycetales bacterium. RNAcentral's name for it is "partial 16S ribosomal RNA". It matches the Rfam family "Bacterial small subunit ribosomal RNA", at positions 89 to 334 of the family's 1533-position model. The record is from RNAcentral. Lineage: Bacteria; Bacillati; Actinomycetota; Actinomycetes; Actinomycetales.
ACUCGAGUGGCGAACGGGUGAGUAACACGUGGGUGAUCUGCCCUGCACUUCGGGAUAAGCUUGGGAAACUGGGUCUAAUACCGGAUAGGAGCCAUCUUUAGUGUGGUGGUUGGAAAGUUUUUCGGUGUAGGAUGAGCUCGCGGCCUAUCAGCUUGUUGGUGGGGUAAUGGCCUACCAAGGCGGCGACGGGUAGCCGGCCUGAGAGGGUGUACGGCCACAUUGGGACUGAGAUACGGUCCAA